RNAcentral lists this ribosomal RNA (477 nucleotides) under uncultured bacterium. RNAcentral's name for it is "bacterial SSU rRNA". It matches the Rfam family "Bacterial small subunit ribosomal RNA", at positions 29 to 524 of the family's 1533-position model. The record is from RNAcentral.
AACGAACGCUGGCGGCAUGCCUAACACAUGCAAGUCGAACGAAGCCUUCGGGCUUAGUGGCGCACGGGUGCGUAACGCGUGGGAAUCUGCCCUUGGGUUCGGAAUAACAGUUAGAAAUGACUGCUAAUACCGAAUGAUGUCUUCGGACCAAAGAUUUAUCGCCAAAGGAUUAGCCCGCGUCUGAUUAGCUAGUUGGUGAGGUAACGGCUCACCAAGGCGACGAUCAGUAGCUGGUCUGAGAGGAUGAUCAGCCACACUGGGACUGAGACACGGCCCAGACUCCUACGGGAGGCAGCAGUGGGGAAUAUUGGACAAUGGGCGCAAGCCUGAUCCAGCCAUGCCGCGUGAGUGAAGAAGGCCCUAGGGUUGUAAAGCACUUUCAGUGGGGAGAAAGGGUUAAUUCACCUAAUACGUGAGUAGAUUGAUGUUACCCACAGAAGAAGCACCGGCUAACUCCGUGCCAGCAGCCGCGGUAAU